RNAcentral lists this unclassified non-coding RNA (253 nucleotides) under uncultured Tepidisphaerales bacterium. RNAcentral's name for it is "contains 16S-23S intergenic spacer region". It matches the Rfam family "Bacterial small subunit ribosomal RNA", at positions 524 to 776 of the family's 1533-position model. Lineage: Bacteria; Pseudomonadati; Planctomycetota; Phycisphaerae; Tepidisphaerales. The record is from RNAcentral.
GACAGAGGCCUCAAGCGUUAGGCGGAAUCACUGGGCUUAAAGCGUGUGUAGGUGGAUUGGCAAGUGCCUUGUGAAAUCCCACGGCUCAACCGUGGAACUGCUGGGCAUACUGCUGAUCUUGAGCCAUCUAGGGGCAGCUGGAACAAACGGUGGAGCGGUGAAAUGCGUAGAUAUCGUUUGGAACGCCAAAGGCGAAAGCAGGCUGCUGGGGAUGUGCUGACACUGAGACACGAAAGCCAGGGGAGCAAACGGG